ACUUUGUCUUUAUGGCAAAUGUGAGAUGCAGUGUAUGGAAUGUCAAAUUUCUAGUAUGAGAAAUUAACGAUUUAAGUCCUUCUUAAAUGAGGCCAUUUACCCAUAGAGGGUGCCAGGCCCGUAUAACGUUAAUGAUUACUAGAUGGCAUUUCCAAAGAGUCGUGUUGCUUGAUAGUGCAGCACUAAGUGGGUGGUAAACUCCAUCUAAAACUAAAUAUAACCAUGAGACCGAUAGUAAACAAGUACCGUGAGGGAAAGUUGAAAAGAACUCUGAAUAGAGAGUUAAAUAGUACGUGAAACUGCUUAGAGGUUAAGCCCGAUGAACCUGAAUAUCCAUUAUAGAAAAUUCAUCAUUAUGAUUUUAAUAUUAAUAAUAUUAUAAUAAUGGUGUGCAUUUUUUCUAUAACGGACAUUGUAAUCUAUUAACAUAAAUAUAUUUAUCAUAAGAUCAAUGAUGCGUAAGUUUAUUCAAAUUAUUUUGCUUGCAAUUUAACAUAGAAUAAAUGCUCUUGAUUUGAUAAAGUGUUGAUAGAUUUAUUGUAUAUAGUGCUUAAAUAUUUAUAUUUUAUAAUAGCAUAUUAAUCAUUGAUUUUUAUGUUUAUUAUAUGCACUUAUAUGAUUAACAAUGCGAAAGAUUCAGGAUACCUUCGGGACCCGUCUUGAAACACGGACCAAGGAGUCUAACAUAUUUGCAAGUUAUUGGGUAUCAAAACCUAAUAGCGAAAUUAACAUAACUUUAAUGGGAUUAGUUUUUAGAUUAUUUAUAGUCUAUUAAUUCAAUCCCGGGGCGUUCUAUAUAGUUAUGUAUAAUAAUAUUUAUAUUAUUUAUACCUCUAACUAGAGCGUACCUUGAGCAUAUAUGCUGUGACCCGAAAGAUGGUGAACUAUACUUGAUCAGGUUGAAGUCAGGGGAAACCCUGAUGGAAGACCGAAACAGUUCUGACGUGCAAAUCGA
Molecule: ribosomal RNA, 955 nt
Filed under: Sarcophaga pyrenaica
Lineage: Eukaryota; Metazoa; Arthropoda; Insecta; Diptera; Sarcophagidae
Description: eukaryotic LSU rRNA
Rfam family: Eukaryotic large subunit ribosomal RNA
Source: RNAcentral